This 252-nucleotide ribosomal RNA is filed under the name uncultured bacterium. Its description in RNAcentral is "partial 16S ribosomal RNA". It matches the Rfam family "Bacterial small subunit ribosomal RNA", at positions 524 to 776 of the family's 1533-position model. The record is from RNAcentral.
UACGUAGGUCCCGAGCGUUGUCCGGAUUUAUUGGGCGUAAAGCAAGCGCAGGUGGUUUAUUAAGUCUGGUGUAAAAGGCAGUGGCUCAACCAUUGUAUGCAUUGGAAACUGGUAGACUUGAGUGCAGGAGAGGAGAGUGGAAUUCCAUGUGUAGCGGUGAAAUGCGUAGAUAUAUGGAGGAACACCGGUGGCGAAAGCGGCUCUCUGGCCUGUAACUGACACUGAGGCUCGAAAGCGUGGGGAGCAAACAGG